UCGCACGAGAACGUUCUGGCUUUGCCAGAACAAGUACAGUGGCGGACGGGUGCGUAUCGCGUAGAUAACCUGCCCUUAGGCGCGGGACAAUCACGGGAAACCGUGGCUAAUACCGCACGUCGUCUGGGCCCCGCAUGGGGACCAGAUGAAAGCUUGGGGUUACCCAGGCGCCUUGGGAUGGGUCUGCGUUGGAUUAGCUUGUUGGUGAGGCAACGGCUCACCAAGGCAACGAUCCAUAGCUGGUCUGAGAGGACGAUCAGCCACACUGGGACUGAGACACGGCCCAGACUCCUACGGGAGGCAGCAGUGGGGAAUCUUGCACAAUGGGGUCACCCCUGAUGCAGCCAUGCCGCGUGGAGGAAGACACCCCUAUGGGGCGUAAACUCCUUUUCUGAAUGAAGAAACCCCUGUAGGUUCAGGGCGCGACGGUAGUUCAGGAAUAAGCACCGGCUAACUCCGUGCCAGCAGCCGCGGUAAUACGGAGGGUGCAAGCGUUGUCCGGAAUCACUGGGUGUAAAGGGUGUGCAGGCGGGGCAACAAGUCGGAUGUGAAACCCCAUGGCUCAACCAUGGAGGUGCAUUCGAAACUGUUGCUCUUGAGUCCCGGAGAGGCUGUCGGAAUUCGUGGUGUAGCGGUGAAAUGCGUAGAUAUCACGAGGAACACCAGAGGCGAAAGCGGGCAGCUGGACGGGUACUGACGCUCAGGCACGAAAGCGUGGGGAGCAAACAGGAUUAGAUACCC
RNAcentral lists this ribosomal RNA (741 nucleotides) under uncultured bacterium. Its description in RNAcentral is "bacterial SSU rRNA". It matches the Rfam family "Bacterial small subunit ribosomal RNA", at positions 62 to 787 of the family's 1533-position model. The record is from RNAcentral.